UGGGGAAUAUUGGACAAUGGGCGCAAGCCUGAUCCAGCAAUGCCGCGUGGAUGAUGAAGGCCUUAGGGUUGUAAAAUCCUUUCGUUGGGGACGAUAAUGACGGUACCCAAAGAAGAAGCUCCGGCUAACUUCGUGCCAGCAGCCGCGGUAAUACGAAGGGGGCUAGCGUUGUUCGGAUUUACUGGGCGUAAAGCGCGUGUAGGCGGGUCGUUAAGUUGGGGGUGAAAUCCCGAGGCUCAACCUCGGAACUGCCUUCAAAACUGGCGACCUGGAGCAAAGAAGAGGCGAGUGGAAUUGCGAGUGUAGAGGUGAAAUUCGUAGAUAUUCGCAGGAACACCAGUGGCGAAGGCGACUCGCUGGUCUUUUGCUGACGCUGAGACGCGAAAGCGUGGGGAGCAAAC
This 401-nucleotide ribosomal RNA is filed under the name uncultured bacterium. Its description in RNAcentral is "bacterial SSU rRNA". It matches the Rfam family "Bacterial small subunit ribosomal RNA", at positions 355 to 773 of the family's 1533-position model. The record is from RNAcentral.